UACAGAGGUCUCAAGCGUUGUUCGGAUUCAUUGGGCGUAAAGGGUGCGUAGGCGGCGCUGUAAGUCGGGAGUGAAAUCCCGGGGCUCAACCCCGGAACUGCACUCGAUACUGCGGCGCUUGAGAGCUGGAGAGGAGAUUGGAAUUCCUGGUGUAGCAGUGAAAUGCGUAGAUAUCAGGAGGAACGCCAAUGGCGAAGGCAGAUCUCUGGACAGCUUCUGACGCUGAGGCACGAAGGCCAGGGGAGCAAACGGG
RNAcentral lists this ribosomal RNA (253 nucleotides) under uncultured prokaryote. RNAcentral's name for it is "partial 16S ribosomal RNA". It matches the Rfam family "Bacterial small subunit ribosomal RNA", at positions 524 to 776 of the family's 1533-position model. The record is from RNAcentral.